UGAGCUUCACAGACAUUGCGUUUUGUUACAAAUUGAUAUUUGGCAACCCUGCAUCGAGCAAGUCGGUCAGCACUAUUUUUCCAGCUGCAUUUGCUCACUUCACGUGUCCGUGUCAUAUUUUGAUCAUUCUAGCAAUGUUUCAAACCCUCCACCAGCAAAAGGAUUACUACAUGCUGAAGGCUCAGGAACCCCAAUUCUACCAAGCUUUCCAUCUGGAGUGGAGAUCUUUGGAAGAAGCAAGGUGAUGGGUCCUGUGCACUCUCAUCUGAGCUUCGUGGGAUGGAGGAAUCAUCGGAGGAGCCCAGAGAAGACUUGGGCUGAUGCUUCACAAAGUGAGAAUGGUGAUUGAGUUUACGAGCCCGCUGAAGAUCUGGAAACCAUGAAUUAUGAGGUCAUUUUGAAGAAGCUGGGGAUGAUUUAUGCCGAGGAGAGAAGGCUCAGCUUUUGCAUGCAUCGCAAACACCAUCUGUUAUAACCCGAGACACACACACGGCAUGGAAUUAGGAAUAGAAGCCAGUGUUGCAGCUGGACAUGGCAGAGGAAAUUGAUAGAACCACCACUUCCUCUGCAGGACUGACAUGGUGAAUGGGGCAUCUGGGGUUUGUCUGAGCUUUUGCAUUCAUCAAUUAAAGAUCUCUUUUGGCUGCUGCAGAGCCAUUGCCUAUUUGAUUACAAAACUUGCCUUGAAGAAAACAAGUAGCUGCUUCUUAGUGCAGGAGGAAGUCUAACCUGGGGGCUAUUUCAAGAGGCCUGAGAAUUCCUUGGUCAAGAAGACUAGGUCUAGAUGCAGGAGGCAUGGCUCUCUGUCUCCACCAUCAAAUUUCUCCAGAGGGGCCCCAUGGGGCCACUGAGCUGGCAGACUCGUCCUCUCCCCAGCUGGUCAUAAGAAGCUCUUGGCCUCUCUAUUGCAAUCUCACCUUUUGUGCACAUGAUCUUUGCAGCAUUCCAAGAAGCAGGGAAGACUCUACUGUCUACUGCUAUUCAGGAGAAAACAGAGGCUCAGGGAUGAGGUGAGCCUGAAUUCUAAAUUGGACAAGAUGGUUCUUUGGGACCUGAGUCCACCAUCUUCUCAGUCUGCCGGCUUUCUGAAUAAAGUCGCUGUUCCUUGCCCCAGCAACUCGUCUCUCGAUUUAUUGGCCUGUCGUGUGGCAAGCAGUAGGAGCUUGGACUCGGUAACGGCAUCUGUGUGGACUUCGUCUGCUUUACAGCAUACUCCUCAGGAUGCUUCCCAUAAGCCAACACUGAAGAGGCUGGUGCAGCAGAGCAAGAAUAAAGGAAAGAUGUGCAGGACAGCAGUAAAGAGCCUAAAACCUGGGCUCUAGUCACUGCUGUGCCCCUUAUGAUAGAGGGGAGGGAGUAAAGUCAAACAUUGCCUCGUUCUGGUCAGCCUGGAGAGGAUAUAUGUGUUAAUUUCUUCCUUCCUGCAGUCAUUCACAGGUGGGCCUGCUCAGGAAGUUUCCUGUGAACUAAAAAAAGGGGAACAUCAAGGGAAACCCCCUUCAUCAUAUCCCACCAAAGUGGCCUCCAUUCCAUUCGCCUUUGGCCCACAGGCUGGAAACCUUGUUUAUUUAUAGUAAGUAUAGACAAGGAAGAGAAGUGAAGGAAGCGCUUCAAAUGUUUGCCUUCAAGUUCUUGUAGGAGGAAGUGAUCACUUUUUCACGCAGGACUCUUGGAAGCAAAGAGUUUAGUGACAAAAGAAUACUAUGCUUUUGCAUAAUCGGAUGGGAAAAAUAAUGUUGUUGCCUCCACCUCUUUUCUGCAAUUAGCCUGUGAAGAGUUGAGAGCUCAGGUUAAGAUGUACCAUCAUUUAGAUUUGGCAGAUGAAAUCACGUGACUCUAGACUUCAUUUGAAAAGAAAGUUUCCUUUGAUUAGGGGCAGAAAGCCCUCAGUCCUUCAUCUGCAGUGAUUUACAGAACUAAAAUGAAAGUCAGGUGGGCAGCAUUUUUGGUUCUUUUGAUGGUUCUUGUUUAAACACCCAAUACCCAUUUCAGAGCUUUUAACACUCACUUUGUAGGUCGAAAUGGCCUCUCGUCUGCUACGAAUCCUAAAUUAGUAGGCGUGUGUCUGACCAAGAUUUGAGGGACCACAUUUACUUUGAGUAAAUAUUCGCCUUUCAUAUUCGAUUUCUUAUUAAAUGGUGUUUCAGAAACUGUGCUAUACAAUAUCCCUAU
This is a long non-coding RNA of Aethalodelphis obliquidens (Pacific white-sided dolphin), 2172 nucleotides long. RefSeq lists it as uncharacterized. The record is from RefSeq and is a predicted model, not a curated record. The transcript is spliced from 5 exons. Lineage: Eukaryota; Metazoa; Chordata; Mammalia; Artiodactyla; Delphinidae.